RNAcentral lists this ribosomal RNA (444 nucleotides) under uncultured bacterium. Its description in RNAcentral is "partial 16S ribosomal RNA". It matches the Rfam family "Bacterial small subunit ribosomal RNA", at positions 331 to 792 of the family's 1533-position model. The record is from RNAcentral.
CCAGACUCCUACGGGAGGCAGCAGUAGGGAAUAUUGCUCAAUGGGGGAAACCCUGACGCAGCAACACCGCGUGAAUGUUAAGCCCUUCGGGGUGUAAAGUUCUGUCAAUAGGGACGAAUUUUGACUGUACCUAUAAAGGAAGCACCGGCUAAAUACGUGCCAGCAGCCGCGGUAAUACGUAUGGUGCAAGCGUUAUCCGGAUUUACUGGGUGUAAAGGGAGCGUAGGCGGCGCGUUAAGUCUGAUGUGAAAACCCGAGGCUCAACCACGGGAGUGCAUUGGAAACUGGCGGGCUGGAGUGCCGGAGAGGUAAGCGGAAUUCCUAGUGUAGCGGUGAAAUGCGUAGAUAUUAGGAGGAACACCAGUGGCGAAGGCGGCUUACUGGACGGCAACUGACGCUGAGGCUCGAAAGCGUGGGGAGCAAACAGGAUUAGAUACCCCCGUA